AAAAAAAGUCCCUCGUCCACUCGGAUUAGUGCUAGGCAGUCGGUCCAUUGUAAAUAAACCCAAACGGCAAACGCAAAUUGUUCAGUUUUUUCCAAACGUACUACCCACACAUCUUUCAUUUUACCUGUUCACCGUGGCGUUGUGGUUUCUCUUUCGUGAUCUCCCGAUCGAUCCACAGGAAUACUUCGCAAGCUUGAUCGAUCUUCUGUGUUCUUAUACAUAAUAAGGUUUGCAAUCUGUUCAUCCCAAUCAUUUUAGGGUUUCUUUAUCAUCAUCAUCCUUUUAUGGAUCACCAAGAAGCUAUGAUCGCCGCGGAAUCUGUUGCGAUGAUGAUCAAAUCCAGUUUAUUUGCUUGUCCUUGGUGGAUAUUUAGGGUUUUAUUCUUAGAUUUUCUUUUACUUUCGUUUGCUUUUGCUGGAGGAUCGGCGAUUGGAUUUCAAGAUUCUAGAUUAUAACUAGUUACAGACUACAAUUGGUGGAUUUUGACAGUGUAGAGAUAUGAGGAUUUGGUUGCCUUAUCAGUGUGUGGAUAUUAUAUGGUUUAUCUGGCUGGAUCUUUCUUUACCAUUUUUAUUAAGGUUUAUUGUGGGGAAUCAGUUUAUUUCUGAACUGUAAGGAUUUGCAAAUAAGAGAUGAACAGCUUUAUAUUGGGAUCUUUUGCUAUGCUUUCUCUGACUCCGAUUAGGGUUUUAGUUUUAAUCGUGUCAGAGAAAACUGAAUCGCCAAAGAUUGUAUGGUUCAACUUGUUCAUUCUGCUAUCGUGUUUUGUCCUUUUAGCAUGGAAGCUGAGACCGUUCAUAGACGACUUGGAGGAGGAGCUGCGCAUAGCAACGUUGUUUGUCGCUUCUGGAUGCGGGGAAAGUGUAAUAGAAACCCGUGUAGGUUCAUGCACAGAGAAUCACAACCUCCUAAUGUUUACCGUAGAACCUCUAAGGAAUCCAAUGUUUUACUGGAGGGACAGUCGAUGAGGAGGUCUAGCUACGGCCUAGGCAAUUCAAUGGCAGGAUCUGAAGCUAAAACUGUUCAGAAGAGUUCCAGUCAUGACAUUAAGCAUCUGCCUAGGAAGCGCCCCAAUCCUAGUAGUUCUUUGGCUUCAGCUACUGGAGGUGGUGUGUCUGAGCAUAAAAUUAUUGAGGAGAGCUCCAGUUCCAGCACCAGCACAGAUUCGGGGAAUAUGGAGGAGAUAGGAGCAUCCAGCAAGUGCUCUGAUGCUUCUGAAGAUAAAACUGUUAACAAGAGCUCAAAUAAGGCAUGUGAUUACUGGAUGUCAGGCAGUUGUAUUCAAGGUGUUGGGUGCCAGUUCUUGCAUUCCUGGUUUCGUGGGGAUUGGUUUUCACUGCUGGCAAACCUCAAGGGACACACUGAGGCUGUCUGUGGGGUGGCACUUCCUUCAGGAUCUGAUAAGCUUUAUUCAGGUAGCAGUGAUGGAAUGGUACAUGUUUGGGAUUGUCAUACUGGUGAGCCCACAAGGGUGAUAAAUCUUGGUGACGAAAUUGGGUCUUUAAUCAGUGAAGGUCCAUGGAUAUUUGUAGGCUUGCCAAAUGUUGUUAAGGCGUGGAACAUCGAAACAGCUGCUGAAUAUAAUCUUAAUGGACCAGUUGGCCAAGUUUAUGCUAUGACUGUUUCUUCUGAUACGCUUUUUGCGGGGGCACAGGAUGGUUCCAUUUUGGCAUGGAAAGGGAGUACAGAAAGCCCAAAUCCUUUUGAACUUGCCACAUCUUUGAAAGGCCAUACUGGUGCUGUGAUAUGCUUAACUAUUGGAAGGGAUAGGCUUUACUCUGGUUCUAUGGACAGUACAAUAAGGGCGUGGGAAGUCGAUACUUUGCAGUGUAUUCACACGCUCAAUGGUCAUGCCGAUGCUGUGAUGUCCCUUAUAUGCUGGGAUGAGUAUUUGUUGUCUUGUUCAUUAGACCGGACAAUAAAAGUCUGGGCCUCUGCUGAAGAGGGGAACAUAGAGGUGAUCUAUACACAUGAGAUGGAGCAUGGUGCUAUUGCUUUUUGCGGGCUGCCUGACGCAGAAGACAAACCGGUUUUAUUUUGCUCUUGCAAUGACAAUUCUAUUUACCUAUACGAUCUACCAUCAUUCAACGAGAGGGGUAGGAUUUUUUCGAAAGGAGGAGUGAGAACAAUCGAGACAGGUCCUGAUGGUCUUUUUUUCACCGGUGAUAGAACAGGAUUGCUUAAUGUUUGGAAGUUGGCUGAAUCACAUGGAAGAGUUCAACAAGUAGCUUAGCAGUUAUGUACUUUGUACUCGGUUCUUAAAUAGAGAUUAAUUUGAGAACUACGUGGACCUGAUCCUCCUCCAUAGGAGUAUGAUAAAAGAAGAAAACAAUGUUAUGAUCGAGGAGAAGCAAAUUGAAAAAUCUCAAUCUUUAAUUUCUUCAACACGAAGCUCGAAUGAAGGGACAGCAGACCAUAGUUGCAAAACUGAAGAACGAAAGAGUAAUGAUCAAAUGAAAAAGAAGCAAAGCAAAAAGUCUCAUUCGUUCAAUUCUUCAAGAGGAAGCUUGAGUGAGAGGCUAGGUAGAAGAGCCUCAGUGUACAGGCCUCGAAAGAGUGAUGUCGAAAGUAGCUUGAGUUACAGCAGGCCUAAAAGGGGUGAAGCUGAAAGUUAUCACAAGGGGAUUCGAAAACUUACGCCGAGAUAUCCCAAGGAUAGUGGUAUUGAAAUUACCAUUUCAUCUACCUCCACAUCAUUGACGUUCAAGGGAAGAAGCUAGAGUGGAAGGAUGAUAAAAGAAUGGAAGGAAUUUCAGACACCGCAGUUGUAAAGAACGAAGUGAACCUAGAUGGCAGCAAUCGUAAUGCUUCUAUUUCUCCAGUUAGUUCGAAUUGGUGCAGUAGCUCCGAUGACGAUCCAAGUUCUAUAACAAAAAAUACUGUCACAAGUAUAACUACAAAACCAUCCAAAAUUCCCAGCAAUAGUAACGUUCCUAUGUUUGGGAAAGUAAGUGAAGAUUCCACUAGUGAAAGGGUGACAUUGAGUUCAACAAAUGACAUAAUGUCAACAGAUACUAGUAUAUCACGGGAUUUCUUUCCUCCAAACUAGGUGAUAUUAGGCCAGGAGUUGUUAUGGCAGGGAGAAAUUAUUUUGCUUGCUGCUGUGGAGGCUUUACAAGAGGCUUCUGCUGCUGAGAAAUUGCUCAAAUGCCUAAGGUGUGCUACUUAGUGUGAUAACUAUUGCCAGCAGAGGCUUUGCUGAUGUAUUUAGGUAAUUAAUGACAGAUGUGAGAGAAGUUUAAGACUGUUUUGUCAGGUAAUACUUUAUUGUGAUUUUUCCAGUAUUUAUUCUCUGAGUCAAGGAGGAUAAGCAGCAUCCAUCAGUAGACAAAUUUUUUAGUCUUCAGGAUGACUGGGUUCAGGCCAAAUUAAUUUCUCGAUCAUUAACCAGUAUUAUUAAUCAGGGAAUAGCUAAUACUUGAUACAAUUGCUCCUUAUUCUGUAAGAGAAGAUACAAAACUUGCAUUUGAGAGAAAGCUAAAUGCAAUUACAUGGAUGACAGCAGCUUUGGAUUCUGAUCUUAACCCAGUUUCUGAUCAUAUCAAAGCCACUAGUAUUUCCAUGUAAAGUAGUAGUACACAGAGAAGUGGAUUGAUAUGGACAAUCAACAGGAUGGGAUGAAGGGAAGUGCUUUGGCUGUAUCGUCAGAAAUUGCAAAUGCCUUGAAUAAAGAGUGUAGAACCUUCUUUGCUUUCAUUGAUACCAUUUUAAAGAUGCUAGGAUUUGUGAUUCAACAUUUGUAGUUACUACAAAAUUUAUCGAUGAAGAUGUAUUGAAAAGGUAUGAGAAAGAGAUAAUGGAAUUUGGGGAUUUCUCUCUAGUGCUCGCCAUCCUGGCAACACUUGCAAUGCUCAACCUGCUCUGCUUUGUUGGAGUUGUGAAUAAAGUGAUCAUGAAUGGCUAUAUUUUUAGGCUUUACAAGACUAUGCCUUUGCAAACUGUUCUUUGUAGUGCCUUGGUUCUUAUCAACUUGCCUCUAUAUCGAGUCCUCUUCCCAAGGAAUGAUAAGGGCAAGUUGCCAAGUUCUCUAGCUUUCAAAUCAUUUGUUGUGGCUUUUCUUGCUUGUACUAGCUUCACUCUCCUAUAUUGAUUCUUCCUUUUGGCUAUUUACAUGUUCUGUAACUUACUGAUACAUGUAUCCAAUCCUUUAAACGUCGCCUGUAAGUUUAGCAAAACAAAGCCAAUCCUAGGUCUCGGAAAUACAUUUAUCCAGGCUUUUUCCUAAGGCUAUACAUUUAUUGAGAUAUGUUUUCUAUUUUCUA
Molecule: RNA transcript, 4262 nt
Organism: Hevea brasiliensis (rubber tree)
Lineage: Eukaryota; Viridiplantae; Streptophyta; Magnoliopsida; Malpighiales; Euphorbiaceae
Gene name: zinc finger CCCH domain-containing protein 48-like
Exons: 10
Source: RefSeq, a predicted model, not a curated record